Molecule: ribosomal RNA, 2356 nt
Filed under: Proteus sp. PR00208
Lineage: Bacteria; Pseudomonadati; Pseudomonadota; Gammaproteobacteria; Enterobacterales; Morganellaceae
Description: partial 23S ribosomal RNA
Rfam family: Bacterial large subunit ribosomal RNA
Source: RNAcentral
GGGUGACUGCGUACCUUUUGUAUAAUGGGUCAGCGACUUAUAUUCUGUAGCAAGGUUAACCGAAUAGGGGAGCCGUAGGGAAACCGAGUCUUAACUGGGCGAAUGAGUUGCAGGGUAUAGACCCGAAACCCGGUGAUCUAUCCAUGGGCAGGUUGAAGGUUGGGUAACACUAACUGGAGGACCGAACCGACUAAUGUUGAAAAAUUAGCGGAUGACUUGUGGAUGGGGGUGAAAGGCCAAUCAAACCGGGAGAUAGCUGGUUCUCCCCGAAAGCUAUUUAGGUAGCGCCUCGUGAAUUCAUCUUCGGGGGUAGAGCACUGUUUCGACUAGGGGGUCAUCCCGACUUACCAACUCGAUGCAAACUGCGAAUACCGAAGAAUGUUAUCACGGGAGACACACGGCGGGUGCUAACGUCCGUCGUGAAGAGGGAAACAACCCAGACCGCCAGCUAAGGUCCCAAAGUCAUGGUUAAGUGGGAAACGAAGUGGGAAGGCUCAGACAGCCAGGAUGUUGGCUUAGAAGCAGCCAUCAUUUAAAGAAAGCGUAAUAGCUCACUGGUCGAGUCGGCCCGCGCGGAAGAUGUAACGGGGCUAAACCAUGCACCGAAGCUGCGGCAGCGACACUUAGGUGUUGUUGGGUAGGGGAGCGUUCUGUAAGCCUGCGAAGGUGUACUGUGAGGUAUGCUGGAGGUAUCAGAAGUGCGAAUGCUGACAUAAGUAACGAUAAUGCGGGUGAAAAACCCGCACGCCGGAAGACCAAGGGUUCCUGUCCAACGUUAAUCGGGGCAGGGUGAGUCGACCCCUAAGGCGAGGCUGAAAAGCGUAGUCGAUGGGAAACGGGUUAAUAUUCCCGUACUGGUGGUAACUGCGAUGGGGGAACGGAGAAGGCUAGGUUGUCCGGGCGACGGUCGUCCCGGUUCAAGCAUGUAGGCAGAGUGAUUAGGCAAAUCCGGUCACUUAAUGCUGAGGUGUGAUGACGAGCCACUAAGGUGGUGAAGCAAUUGAUGCCCUGCUUCCAGGAAAAGCCUCUAAGCUUCAGGUUACCAACAAUCGUACCCCAAACCGACACAGGUGGUCAGGUAGAGAAUACUCAGGCGCUUGAGAGAACUCGGGUGAAGGAACUAGGCAAAAUGGUGCCGUAACUUCGGGAGAAGGCACGCUGGCGGUAAGUGAAGUCCCUCGCGGACGGAGCCGAAGCCAGUCGAAGAUACCAGCUGGCUGCAACUGUUUAUUAAAAACACAGCACUGUGCAAACACGAAAGUGGACGUAUACGGUGUGACGCCUGCCCGGUGCUGGAAGGUUAAUUGAUGGGGUUAUCCUUAGGGAGAAGCUCUUGAUCGAAGCCCCAGUAAACGGCGGCCGUAACUAUAACGGUCCUAAGGUAGCGAAAUUCCUUGUCGGGUAAGUUCCGACCUGCACGAAUGGCGUAAUGAUGGCCAGGCUGUCUCCACCCGAGACUCAGUGAAAUUGAACUCGCUGUGAAGAUGCAGUGUACCCGCGGCAAGACGGAAAGACCCCGUGAACCUUUACUAUAGCUUGACACUGAACAUUGAGCCUUGAUGUGUAGGAUAGGUGGGAGACUAAGAAGUGUGGACGCCAGUCUGCAUGGAGUCAACCUUGAAAUACCACCCUUUAACGUUUGAUGUUCUAACCUAGGCCCGUAAUCCGGGUCGGGGACCGUGUCUGGUGGGUAGUUUGACUGGGGCGGUCUCCUCCUAAAGAGUAACGGAGGAGCACGAAGGUUGGCUAAGCAUGGUCGGACAUCAUGCGGUUAGUGCAAAGGCAUAAGCCAGCUUGACUGUGAGAGUGACGGCUCGAGCAGGUACGAAAGUAGGUCUUAGUGAUCCGGUGGUUCUGAAUGGAAGGGCCAUCGCUCAACGGAUAAAAGGUACUCCGGGGAUAACAGGCUGAUACCGCCCAAGAGUUCAUAUCGACGGCGGUGUUUGGCACCUCGAUGUCGGCUCAUCACAUCCUGGGGCUGAAGUAGGUCCCAAGGGUAUGGCUGUUCGCCAUUUAAAGUGGUACGCGAGCUGGGUUUAGAACGUCGUGAGACAGUUCGGUCCCUAUCUGCCGUGGGCGUUGGAAGAUUGAGAGGGGUUGCUCCUAGUACGAGAGGACCGGAGUGAACGCACCACUGGUGUUCGGGUUGUCAUGCCAAUGGCAUUGCCCGGUAGCUAAGUGCGGAAGAGAUAACCGCUGAAAGCAUCUAAGCGGGAAACUUGCCUCGAGAUGAGUCUUCCCUGUCACCUAGAGUGACCUAAAGGAACGUUUAAGACUAAGACGUUGAUAGGCUGGGUGUGUAAGCGUAGCGAUACGUUGAGCUAACCAGUACUAAUGAACCGUGAGGCUUAACCUG